CUCGCAAGAGCAAAGCAGGGGACCUUCGGGCCUUGCGCUACCGGAUAUGCCCAGGCGGGAUUAGCUAGUUGGUGAGGUAAGGGCUCACCAAGGCGACGAUCCCUAGCUGGUCUGAGAGGAUGAUCAGCCACACUGGAACUGAGACACGGUCCAGACUCCUACGGGAGGCAGCAGUGGGGAAUAUUGCACAAUGGGCGCAAGCCUGAUGCAGCCAUGCCGCGUGUAUGAAGAAGGCCUCCGGGUU
This 244-nucleotide ribosomal RNA is filed under the name uncultured Vibrio sp. Its description in RNAcentral is "partial 16S ribosomal RNA". It matches the Rfam family "Bacterial small subunit ribosomal RNA", at positions 173 to 424 of the family's 1533-position model. Lineage: Bacteria; Pseudomonadati; Pseudomonadota; Gammaproteobacteria; Vibrionales; Vibrionaceae. The record is from RNAcentral.